GACGAACGCUGGCGGCGUGCUUAACACAUGCAAGUCGAACGGAAAGGCGCUGCUUUUGUUGGGUGCUCGAGUGGCGAACGGGUGAGUAACACGUGAGUAACCUGCCCUUGACUGUGGGAUAACUUCAGGAAACUGGGGCUAAUACCGGAUAGGAGCUCCUGCUGCAUGGGGGGGGUUGGAAAGUUUCGGUGGUUGGGGAUGGACUCGCGGCUUAUCAGCUUGUUGGGGGGGUAGUGGAUUACCAAGGCUUUGACGGGUAGGCGGCCUGGGAGGGUGACCGGGCACAUUGGGACUGCGAUACGGACCAGACUCCUACGGGAGGCAAAAGUGGGGAAUAUUGCACAAUGGGCGGAAGCCUGAUGCAGCAACGCCGCGUGCGGGAUGCCGGCCUUCGGGUUGUAAACCGCUUUCGCCUGUGACGAAGCGUGCGUGACGGUAAUGGGUAAAGAAGCACCGGCUAACUACGUG
This 468-nucleotide ribosomal RNA is filed under the name uncultured bacterium. RNAcentral describes it as "partial 16S ribosomal RNA". It matches the Rfam family "Bacterial small subunit ribosomal RNA", at positions 28 to 507 of the family's 1533-position model. The record is from RNAcentral.